Molecule: ribosomal RNA, 253 nt
Filed under: uncultured bacterium
Lineage: Bacteria
Description: partial 16S ribosomal RNA
Rfam family: Bacterial small subunit ribosomal RNA
Source: RNAcentral
UACGAAGGUCCCGAGCGUUGUUCGGAAUCACUGGGCGUAAAGGGAGCGUAGGCGGCGCGGUAAGUCAGAUGUGAAAUCCCGGGGCUCAACCCCGGAACUGCAUCCGAUACUGCCGUGCUAGAGGAUUGGAGAGGUAGCUGGAAUUCUUGGUGUAGCAGUGAAAUGCGUAGAGAUCAAGAGGAACACUCGUGGCGAAAGCGAGCUACUGGACAAUUCCUGACGCUGAGGCUCGAAGGCUAGGGUAGCGAAAGGG